This 69-nucleotide transfer RNA is filed under the name Upeneus sulphureus (sulphur goatfish). Its description in RNAcentral is "tRNA-Phe". It matches the Rfam family "tRNA". From Rfam's summary of the family: Transfer RNA (tRNA) molecules are approximately 80 nucleotides in length. Their secondary structure includes four short double-helical elements and three loops (D, anti-codon, and T loops). Lineage: Eukaryota; Metazoa; Chordata; Actinopteri; Syngnathiformes; Mullidae. The record is from RNAcentral.
GCUGGCGUAGCUUAAGAUAAAGCAUAACACUGAAGAUGUUAAGCUGGCCCUUAAAAGGUCCCGCUGGCA